Myotis daubentonii (Daubenton's bat) is the source of this 1973-nucleotide long non-coding RNA. RefSeq lists it as uncharacterized. The record is from RefSeq and is a predicted model, not a curated record. Lineage: Eukaryota; Metazoa; Chordata; Mammalia; Chiroptera; Vespertilionidae.
CAUAAAAUUAUUUUCGUUGCUACUUCAUAACUGUAAUGUUGCUACUGUUAUGAAUUGUAAUGAAAAUAUCUGAUAUGCAGGAUGGUCUUAGGCGACCCCUGUGAAAGGGUCGUUCGACCACGGAAGGGGUCACAACCCACAGGUUGAGAACCGCUGGCAUACAUGUUUUAAAGCCACCACAGUAACCAUUAUUUUUAGAUUAACUUACAUUAUUGCCUUUGAAAUUGGCCUUUUAAUUAACAGUGUUCUAAACGUUUUUAAAAAGGGCUAGAUUUUACUGUUAUAUUGUGAUUUGAAAGAUUCUUGUGUCUUUAUUAUGAUGGUUUGUUUUAUUCUGUAACUCCCCACGGUUUUCUUGACAGUUGAUUUAACGAUUUGGCUAUCAUCCAAUGCUGUGUAAUUUUAGUUUACAUUUCCUGUCAUUUUACCAUCAAGAAAGGUAUCUUCCUUUGGUGUAAUACUUUAUAUAAUGGUUGGUUACAUGCUAAUAUUUAAUAUUUUAUGUGGUUUUCUCAGAUAAAACCAACCUGUAAUCACAUAAGUAACUCAGAACUGCUUGGUUAGUUUUUUAAGUGAGCCAUUCUAAGAAUUUCCAAAACCUUUGCCUAACUUUCACUGUGAAAAUAUUACCUAAUUUUUGUCUUAAAGGACAGUUUUCCUUUUUCUUUAUAACUAAUUAAGGAUCUUGUAAUUCAUGUGGUUUCUAUUAUGGUCACUAAGCAUUUAUUAGAACUAUGACAUUUCACUUGAAAGAUUGUUUUCUAAGGGAAAUGUACAUUCAUUAUAUGUUUUCCCAUAUUUUCUUUUUCUUCCUUUUUACAUACUACAACUCUUCUGAUUGCUUUUCCUUCCCUGACACUACCUGAAGUAUUGUAGUUAAUCACAUUUUGUAAAAGGUGAAGGAUUUCUACAUUCUGAAGAAUAAGGGAAACUGCAUUUUAGAUGAAAAUUUGUUAGAUGGCUUUCUUAUUUAUAGGGUAACAUAACUCAAUGAAAUAAAAAAUAGUAAUGUGUUUUAUGGACAUUUAAAAUAAUAUAUGAAACGUAUUCUAAGUAUAAGCCAUUCAGAGACAUUCAAACAUUACAUUUCAACUUUGUUUCCUAUUACAGACAUAUUUAAGAAUAGAAAUAAUGUCCUGGUUAAGCAACCAAAGUAUUCCUUUAAUGUGUCAACACUUCACAUGAUAUCAAGUUAUUUUUAUCAGAUUUUUUUCUGUUUAUAAGUUUUUAGAAACUGAAAAAUUAGGAAACCAGCUGGAGGUGGAAGGCAUGGUCACUUGCAGACAAGUAAAUGUGGGCUGUACCAGAACAGAAACAGGGAGCUAAAGGGUAAUCUAAACCUCCCAGAAGCACCUUAGGAGGCAAGUGGACAGGAAAGAUCUUCAGAGCGAGUGGCGUAACUUCUGCAAAAACUUAGCAAUAAAUCAUCUAAUCAGUGUCUUCUCUCUGUUUUUGACUCCCAUUUGUUCAUCUUAUUAUCUGGAUGUAUUCUUUGUCAUUUUAUUUUUAGGCUUGAGUAUUGUAAAAUGAAGUGGGGCCAUUGUGCCUUUCUGGCUCCUUUUGUCUACUAGUCAUUUCUGUAACCAUUAACACUCAGCCUGACUUACCCAGUGGCCUUUACCAUCCCUCACCUGUGCUCGUGCUCUGCCUCAUUCAGCCCUUUUCUAGCAUUUACUACAUGUGUUACAUAACACUGCACAAAGCAAAACUCACUGUAUUUUCUCCCUGAUAGAUUAAGCUUUCUAAGAGUGUGGAAUGGGCCCUAGCCGGUUUGGCUCAAUGGAUAGAGCGUCGGCCUGCGAACUGAAAGGUCCCAGGUUUGAUUCCGGUCAAGGCCACAUACUCGGGUUGUGGGCUUGAUUCCCAGUAUGGGGCUCGCAGGAGGCAGCCAAUCAAUGAUUCUCUCUCUUCAUUGAUGUUUCUAUCUCUUCCACUCCCUCUCUGAAAUCAAUAAAAAUAUAUUUUAAAAAAAA